Papilio xuthus (Asian swallowtail) is the source of this 72-nucleotide microRNA precursor. It matches the Rfam family "mir-929 microRNA precursor family". Lineage: Eukaryota; Metazoa; Arthropoda; Insecta; Lepidoptera; Papilionidae. The record is from Rfam.
GGAUGUCAAAUUGACUCUAGUAGGGAGUCCGUUUAAUGCGCGACUCCCUAAUCGAGUCAGGUUGACUUCCUU